This is a long non-coding RNA of Xenia sp. Carnegie-2017, 598 nucleotides long. RefSeq lists it as uncharacterized. The record is from RefSeq and is a predicted model, not a curated record. The transcript has 2 exons. NCBI's taxonomy places the organism in Eukaryota, Metazoa, Cnidaria, Anthozoa, Malacalcyonacea, Xeniidae.
AAGGUUCGCAACAUUCAGUUUUACAUGAUCCAUCAAAAGAAGAAUUAAAACAAAUUGAUGGUCACUUGAAUGAUCAAGAUCUUGUGUACAAGACUUCCUGGGUAAAAAUCCUUGGAACACUCUACAAAAUUGGGGCAAUUAUCCAUGUGGGCUUCAACAAUUUUCUGCCUGUUUUUGCUGAGAUUAAAUCAAUCCAUGUUUUAAACUCAUCAAUUGAAAGGGUGUAUUUUGCUGCUGAAAUUUUGUACACAAAAGAGUUUUGUGAGCAUUACCGUACCUAUGUUGUAAACAGAGCAGUACAUCCUGAAAUUCAGUUUUACCCACAAAGAUCGUUGCAGUACUAUCUCCCACUUCACUUUCUGAAUCCUGUCUGUUCACAUAACCAGACACAUGUUUGGCCUAAAUGUGAUAUUCACAAUUACAAUUAAUACCAAUAUUUACUGAUUUAAAAGAUGCAGUGCGUAUGUUCAUAAUAAAUAUCAUCACAUUGUGAAAUGUUGCCUAUCAAAAAUUUUUUGAGAACUAAAAUAUCAUAUCUUUGUCAUAAUAUGUGAUUUAGUUUGUUCAAAAGCAAUUAAAACUGCUAAAAUGCAAAAAA